CGCUGGCGGCGUGCCUAAUACAUGCAAGUCGAACGCACUCUCGUUUAGAUUGAAGGAGCGUUGCUCCUGAUUGAUAAACAUUUGAGUGAGUGGCGGACGGGUGAGUAACACGUGGGUAACCUGCCCUAAAGUGGGGAUAACAUUUGGAAACAGAUGCUAAUACCGCAUAAAACCUAACACCGCAUGGUGUAGGGUUGAAAGAUGGUUUCGGCUAUCACUUUAGGAUGGACCCGCGGUGCAUUAGUUAGUUGGUGAGGUAAAGGCUCACCAAGACCGUGAUGCAUAGCCGACCUGAGAGGGUAAUCGGCCACACUGGGACUGAGACACGGCCCAGACUCCUACGGGAGGCAGCAGUAGGGAAUCUUCCACAAUGGACGAAAGUCUGAUGGAGCAACGCCGCGUGAGUGAAGAAGGUUUUCGGAUCGUAAAACUCUGUUGUUGGAGAAGAAUGUAUCUGAUAGUAACUGAUCAGGUAGUGACGGUAUCCAACCAGAAAGCCACGGCUAACUACGUG
Molecule: ribosomal RNA, 514 nt
Filed under: uncultured bacterium
Lineage: Bacteria
Description: bacterial SSU rRNA
Rfam family: Bacterial small subunit ribosomal RNA
Source: RNAcentral